ACAACUUAUGUAUCCGUGUCUUCUACACACAUCAAACACUUCCUCUUUAUAUCCUGCGCGCAGUUCGAUCUUCCACAGCUUUGGCUAAAGACUAAUUAAUUAAAGUUCAGAUAAACUUUGCACUAUUUUUUCUUCCUUUAAACUUUUUGAGGAAGUAAAAAAAAGGCAAGGUGGAGAGUGAAGAUGAUUGCUGCAUGUUAAUUUUCCCUAUGGUAAAACUCAGUUAAAUAGAAAUUUGAUCUGGGAAAAGGAAAAGAAUUAAACUUUUGAGUACGUCUUUUUUCUUUUCCUUCAUUUUCUUACCUACAAAAAGGAUAAAUUAAUGUUAUAUAUGAUCGUUUUGCCUACUUCUUUACCUACUAAAUUUGUAACUUUUGGGAUGAUUUGUGAAUAUUUUUUUUGGUAAAUUUAAUAGCUAUGUGUUUGGAUUGAUAUUUAUAUGGGCUGGUAAAUUUAACAAAUUAUUAUAUUUGUUCUAAAACAAGUCAAAUAAUAAGACUUUAAUUUUACUAAACAGUUUUCACUGAUAUAUACUCGAUGAUUUAGUGCGUAACAGAAGAGUGCAGCAGCAGUCUAAACUCUGUCAUUCAGAGGCGCGAUAACAGAACAAGUUUUGCUAGGCAAGGGUCCAGUUCACAAGCUUAUUUCAUGAGGCAGGUUUAUUUCAACAGAAGAGGUGCUUAAAUCUUUUAGACCAUACCUUGCACUUUAUACUUCCUCUAUUAUGUAAAAAGUGGUACAAUAAUAUGAGCUUCUAAAAUAAAACAAAAACACAUUUUUAAUACAUGUAAAUUUAGCAAAUGAGAAUUUCUUUUUGACACGAUUGAUUCAUUGAACACUAGUUUCCCUACGCCUUACUUUACUUUCAAGCUCCUCUGCUCUGCUUUGGUAUUUGAAGUUUGAAAUGGAGAGGAUCUUUGUCCCAACAGAGGAGGGGGAAUGAGUGGAAAAGAUAUAUUCGGCUCCGAGAAGCCUUUUG
Molecule: long non-coding RNA, 979 nt
Filed under: Panax ginseng (ginseng)
Lineage: Eukaryota; Viridiplantae; Streptophyta; Magnoliopsida; Apiales; Araliaceae
Description: long non-coding RNA (PGIN_LNC010311)
Source: RNAcentral